GCUGGGGGUGGUGGCACACUCCUGUAAUCCCAGCUACUUAGGAGGCUGAGGCAGGAGAAUUGCUUGAACCCAGGAGGUGGAGGUUGCAGUGAGCCGAGAUUGUGCCACUGCACUCCAGCCUGAGUGAUAGAGCAAGACUCUGUCUCAA
Molecule: small RNA, 148 nt
Filed under: Macaca fascicularis (crab-eating macaque)
Lineage: Eukaryota; Metazoa; Chordata; Mammalia; Primates; Cercopithecidae
Description: Metazoan signal recognition particle RNA (ENSMFAG00000057701.1)
Source: Rfam by way of RNAcentral